This 392-nucleotide ribosomal RNA is filed under the name uncultured bacterium. Its description in RNAcentral is "partial 16S ribosomal RNA". It matches the Rfam family "Bacterial small subunit ribosomal RNA", at positions 523 to 918 of the family's 1533-position model. The record is from RNAcentral.
AUACGGAGGAUCCGAGCGUUAUCCGGAUUUAUUGGGUUUAAAGGGUGCGCAGGCGGCCAUUUAAGUCAGCGGUUAAAUCGUGGGGCUCAACCCCAUUCUGCCGUUGAUACUGGGUGGCUUGAUUGCGGUCGAGGUUGGCGGAAUUCGUUGUGUAGCGGUGAAAUGCAUAGAUAUGACGAAGAACACCGAUUGCGUAGGCAGCUGACCAGACCGCAAAUGACGCUCAUGCACGAAAGUGCGGGGAUCGAACAGGAUUAGAUACCCUGGUAGUCCGCACAGUAAACGAUGAAUACUUGUUUUCGGCGAUAUAAUGUCGGAGGCAAAGCGAAAGCGAUAAGUCAUCCACCUGGGGAGUACGUCGGCAACGAUGAAACUCAAAGGAAUUGACGGGG